GAUGAAGAACGCAGCGAAAUGCGAUAAGUAAUGUGAAUUGCAGAAUUCCGUGAAUCAUCGAAUCUUUGAACGCACAUUGCGCCCCCUGGCAUUCCGGGGGGCAUGCCUGUCCGAGCGUCAUUUCUGCCCUCCAGCCCGGCUGGGUGUUGGGCGCUGUCCCCCCGGGGACACGCCCCAAAGGCAGUGGCGGCGCCACGUCGGGUCCUCGAGCGUAUGGGGCUUUGUCACCCGCUCGGGACGGACUCGUCGGCGCUGGUCUUCCUCCAGGCGACCCUUCGGGGCUCGUCUUCCUUCGGUUGACCUCGGAUCAGGUAGGGUUACCCGCUGAACUUAAGCAUAUCAAUAAGCGGAGGA
RNAcentral lists this unclassified non-coding RNA (354 nucleotides) under soil metagenome. Its description in RNAcentral is "partial contains 5.8S ribosomal RNA, internal transcribed spacer 2, and large subunit ribosomal RNA". The stretch from base 1 to 120 matches the Rfam family "5.8S ribosomal RNA", at positions 35 to 154 of the family's 154-position model. The record is from RNAcentral.